Molecule: ribosomal RNA, 253 nt
Filed under: uncultured bacterium
Lineage: Bacteria
Description: partial 16S ribosomal RNA
Rfam family: Bacterial small subunit ribosomal RNA
Source: RNAcentral
UACAUGGGGUGCAAACGUUGCUCGGAAUUAUUGGGCGUAAAGCGCACGUAGGCGGUUCGUUAUGUCGGAUGUGAAAGCCCUUGGCUUAACCGAGGAAGUGCAUCCGAAACUGGCGAGCUUGAGUACGAAAGAGGAUCGCGGAAUUCCCGGUGUAGAGGUGAAAUUCGUAGAUAUCGGGAGGAACACCGGUGGCGAAGGCGGCGAUCUGGGUCGAUACUGACGCUGAGGUGCGAAAGCGUGGGGAGCAAACAGG